GGCGAACGCUGGCGGCAGGCCUAACACAUGCAAGUCGAACGGACCCUUCGGGGUUAGUGGCGGACGGGUGAGUAACACGUGGGAACGUGCCUUUAGGUUCGGAAUAGCUCCUGGAAACGGGUGGUAAUGCCGAAUGUGCCCUUCGGGGAAAAGAUUUAUCGCCUUUAGAGCGGCCCGCGUCUGAUUAGCUAGUUGGUGAGGUAACGGCUCACCAAGGCGACGAUCAGUAGCUGGUCUGAGAGGAUGACCAGCCACACUGGGACUGAGACACGGCCCAGACUCCUACGGGAGGCAGCAGUGGGGAAUCUUGCGCAAUGGGCGAAAGCCUGACGCAGCCAUGCCGCGUGAAUGAUGAAGGUCUUAGGAUUGUAAAAUUCCUUCACCGGGGACGAUAAUGACGGUACCCGGAGAAGAAGCCCCGGCUAACUUCGUG
RNAcentral lists this ribosomal RNA (433 nucleotides) under uncultured bacterium. Its description in RNAcentral is "partial 16S ribosomal RNA". It matches the Rfam family "Bacterial small subunit ribosomal RNA", at positions 28 to 507 of the family's 1533-position model. The record is from RNAcentral.